GGGUUGUGAGGUUAAGCGACUAAGCGUACACGGUGGAUGCCCUGGCAGUCAGAGGCGAUGAAGGACGUGCUAAUCUGCGAUAAGCGUCGGUGAGGUGAUAUGAACCGUUAUAACCGGCGAUUUCCGAAUGGGGAAACCCAGUGUGUUUCGACACACUAUCAUUAACUGAAUCCAUAGGUUAAUGAGGCGAACCGGGGGAACUGAAACAUCUAAGUACCCCGAGGAAAAGAAAUCAACCGAGAUUCCCCCAGUAGCGGCGAGCGAACGGGGAGGAGCCCAGAGCCUGAAUCAGUGUGUGUGUUAGUGGAAGCGUCUGGAAAGGCGCGCGAUACAGGGUGACAGCCCCGUACACAAAAAUGCACAUAUUGUGAGCUCGAUGAGUAGGGCGGGACACGUGGUAUCCUGUCUGAAUAUGGGGGGACCAUCCUCCAAGGCUAAAUACUCCUGACUGACCGAUAGUGAACCAGUACCGUGAGGGAAAGGCGAAAAGAACCUCGGCGAGGGGAGUGAAAAAGAACCUGAAACCGUGUACGUACAAGCAGUGGGAGCCUCUUAAUGGGGUGACUGCGUACCUUUUGUAUAAUGGGUCAGCGACUUAUAUUCUGUAGCAAGGUUAACCGAAUAGGGGAGCCGAAGGGAAACCGAGUCUUAACUGGGCGUUAAGUUGCAGGGUAUAGACCCGAAACCCGGUGAUCUAGCCAUGGGCAGGUUGAAGGUUGGGUAACACUAACUGGAGGACCGAACCGACUAAUGUUGAAAAAUUAGCGGAUGACUUGUGGCUGGGGGUGAAAGGCCAAUCAAACCGGGAGAUAGCUGGUUCUCCCCGAAAGCUAUUUAGGUAGCGCCUCGUGAAUUCAUCUCCGGGGGUAGAGCACUGUUUCGGCAAGGGGGUCAUCCCGACUUACCAACCCGAUGCAAACUGCGAAUACCGGAGAAUGUUAUCACGGGAGACACACGGCGGGUGCUAACGUCCGUCGUGAAGAGGGAAACAACCCAGACCGCCAGCUAAGGUCCCAAAGUCAUGGUUAAGUGGGAAACGAUGUGGGAAGGCCCAGACAGCCAGGAUGUUGGCUUAGAAGCAGCCAUCAUUUAAAGAAAGCGUAAUAGCUCACUGGUCGAGUCGGCCUGCGCGGAAGAUGUAACGGGGCUAAACCAUGCACCGAAGCUGCGGCAGCGACACUAUGUGUUGUUGGGUAGGGGAGCGUUCUGUAAGCCUGUGAAGGUGGCCUGUGAGGGUUGCUGGAGGUAUCAGAAGUGCGAAUGCUGACAUAAGUAACGAUAAAGCGGGUGAAAAGCCCGCUCGCCGGAAGACCAAGGGUUCCUGUCCAACGUUAAUCGGGGCAGGGUGAGUCGACCCCUAAGGCGAGGCCGAAAGGCGUAGUCGAUGGGAAACAGGUUAAUAUUCCUGUACUUGGUGUUACUGCGAAGGGGGGACGGAGAAGGCUAUGUUGGCCGGGCGACGGUUGUCCCGGUUUAAGCGUGUAGGCUGGUUUUCCAGGCAAAUCCGGAAAAUCAAGGCUGAGGCGUGAUGACGAGGCACUACGGUGCUGAAGCGACAAAUGCCCUGCUUCCAGGAAAAGCCUCUAAGCAUCAGGUAACAUCAAAUCGUACCCCAAACCGACACAGGUGGUCAGGUAGAGAAUACCAAGGCGCUUGAGAGAACUCGGGUGAAGGAACUAGGCAAAAUGGUGCCGUAACUUCGGGAGAAGGCACGCUGAUAUGUAGGUGAAGCGACUUGCUCGUGGAGCUGAAAUCAGUCGAAGAUACCAGCUGGCUGCAACUGUUUAUUAAAAACACAGCACUGUGCAAACACGAAAGUGGACGUAUACGGUGUGACGCCUGCCCGGUGCCGGAAGGUUAAUUGAUGGGGUUAGCGGUAACGCGAAGCUCUUGAUCGAAGCCCCGGUAAACGGCGGCCGUAACUAUAACGGUCCUAAGGUAGCGAAAUUCCUUGUCGGGUAAGUUCCGACCUGCACGAAUGGCGUAAUGAUGGCCAGGCUGUCUCCACCCGAGACUCAGUGAAAUUGAACUCGCUGUGAAGAUGCAGUGUACCCGCGGCAAGACGGAAAGACCCCGUGAACCUUUACUAUAGCUUGACACUGAACAUUGAGCCUUGAUGUGUAGGAUAGGUGGGAGGCUUUGAAGUGUGGACGCCAGUCUGCAUGGAGCCGACCUUGAAAUACCACCCUUUAAUGUUUGAUGUUCUAACGUGGGCCCCUUACCGGGGUUGCGGACAGUGUCUGGUGGGUAGUUUGACUGGGGCGGUCUCCUCCUAAAGAGUAACGGAGGAGCACGAAGGUUGGCUAAUCCUGGUCGGACAUCAGGAGGUUAGUGCAAUGGCAUAAGCCAGCUUGACUGCGAGCGUGACGGCGCGAGCAGGUGCGAAAGCAGGUCAUAGUGAUCCGGUGGUUCUGAAUGGAAGGGCCAUCGCUCAACGGAUAAAAGGUACUCCGGGGAUAACAGGCUGAUACCGCCCAAGAGUUCAUAUCGACGGCGGUGUUUGGCACCUCGAUGUCGGCUCAUCACAUCCUGGGGCUGAAGUAGGUCCCAAGGGUAUGGCUGUUCGCCAUUUAAAGUGGUACGCGAGCUGGGUUUAGAACGUCGUGAGACAGUUCGGUCCCUAUCUGCCGUGGGCGCUGGAGAACUGAGGGGGGCUGCUCCUAGUACGAGAGGACCGGAGUGGACGCAUCACUGGUGUUCGGGUUGUCAUGCCAAUGGCACUGCCCGGUAGCUAAAUGCGGAAGAGAUAAGUGCUGAAAGCAUCUAAGCACGAAACUUGCCCCGAGAUGAGUUCUCCCUGACUCCUUGAGAGUCCUGAAGGAACGUUGAAGACGACGACGUUGAUAGGCCGGGUGUGUAAGCGCAGCGAUGCGUUGAGCUAACCGGUACUAAUGAACCGUGAGGCUUAACCUUACAACGCCGAAG
This 2925-nucleotide ribosomal RNA is filed under the name Escherichia coli. Its description in RNAcentral is "bacterial LSU rRNA". It matches the Rfam family "Bacterial large subunit ribosomal RNA". RNAcentral also lists the same sequence under 2 other names. Lineage: Bacteria; Pseudomonadati; Pseudomonadota; Gammaproteobacteria; Enterobacterales; Enterobacteriaceae. The record is from RNAcentral.